This 397-nucleotide ribosomal RNA is filed under the name uncultured bacterium. Its description in RNAcentral is "bacterial SSU rRNA". It matches the Rfam family "Bacterial small subunit ribosomal RNA", at positions 32 to 419 of the family's 1533-position model. The record is from RNAcentral.
AAUCAACGCUGGCGGCGUGCCUCAGACAUGCAAGUCGUACGAUUAAAGCUCUCUUCGGAGAGUGUAUAGAGUGGCGCACGGGUGAGUAACACGUAAGUAAUCUACCUUCGAGUGGGGAAUAACAGUCGGAAACGACUGCUAAUACCGCAUAAUGCAGCGGCACCUAAUGGUGACAGUUGUUAAAGCAUUUAUGUGCUUGAAGAGGAGCUUGCGGCAGAUUAGCUAGUUGGUAAGGUAAUGGCUUACCAAGGCGACGAUCUGUAGCCGACCUGAGAGGGUGGUCGGUCACACUGACACUGAAUAACGGGUCAGACUCCUACGGGAGGCAGCAGUCGGGAAUUUUGGGCAAUGGGCGAAAGCCUGACCCAGCAACGCCGCGUGAAGGAUGAAGUAUUUC